CCUACCAUGAGAAGGUGGGGGGCAUUUAAGUCUUUGUAUAAAAUUGGAAGGUGAAGUAUCCCUAUUAAUCGCAGUUUUGUGAUGGGCUUUUUAAUGAAUGAUGUUAAUUUUAUCUUAUUUUGUUAAUAAAUUCUAUAAUAUAUUUAAUUUUUUUAUCACUAAAUAUUUAUUUAUAUUAAAUUAUUAAUGCCAAUAUUGUGUUUAAAAUUAAUUAAAAAUCUUUCUAAUAUUUGUGUUUUCUAAUAUUUAUGUUUUGAACCCUCCUGCAUCAUCAGAACACUUAAAUAACAAACACACCGGUUAAAAUCUAAAUUACAACAUUUUUAUGAUGAACUCUCGAUAAAACUUCCAUCUCUGCGUUGAAUUCAAGCCCACCUUGCACCGAUCCUUGUCGACAUCGUUUUAUGGCAAUCAGUUGUCCAGUAGGAAGCAUCCCUCUAUAAACCUGUACACAAAAAUGUUGAAAGAUUCAAGUAUUGUGUCGCUGAAAAAAUAAAUGAACAUUCUCUAUUUAGUCAGCACAUUCUACAAGUUAAAAUGGUCAUAACAAGUUUAAAUUCAAUAGAAAACAUUGCAUCCAGCCCAGAUAACUACAAUUUGAUAGUUUACUUUCAAAUGCUCAUUCUUAAUAUUUGGUAUUCCAUUUCAGUUCAGAAGUUAGAUAGUUUGAAAGCAAAUUGCAACCAGCAACACCCACCACAAUCAUUGUUUAUGCAAAUGAAACCACCAUGACAGGACAGGAAAAGAGGGAGAGACUUGCCAUUUUGUAACCCCCUGAUCCAAUAUGAUUGGCUUCCGAGAAAUUAUUGGUGCUCUUUGUAAUCUCAACGAAAGAGAAGUGUCUGGCUCCCUUCAACUGAGGAACUCUGCCACACAAUUGCAACAAGUUUUCCAUGACAAUGUUACAAGUUUGUAUGCAUGUAAGAAUGGUAUGAAAAGUUGAAAACAGUUCACUAAUUAUCCCUGUUAACUUCAGCAGAUCAUGUCCAGAAAAAAAAAAAAAACAAGCAGAGUUUAAAUCAAGUUCUACAAGAUAUAAUAGCAUAACAAUACUAAUUAUUCAAGUUCUACAAGCAUAACAAUAUAUUAACCUGUAAUUGCACUUAAUUACAGGUUAAGUGCAAUUAAUUAUGAGAAAUUUGCUAAAACAGAAUGUUAUUUCUAGAUAAUUUCUACAAGCAAACGUGUGAAACACAAUUCAAGAAAUUAAUUAGUGAACUAUUUUCAACUUUUCAUGCUAUUGAACUGUGGCCCGUGGGUUAAGGAAUCACAAGGAAUAUAAACCAUGCAUUUUAAUCGUAUGUACAUGCUUUCUUGGAAUAUAUUCAUGAAAAUUAAUUGUAAGUCUUUGCAUAAAUAUGAGAGAACAAGAUGAAUGUCGGAGACAGUAAAUAAUUUUGGCAGCUGCAUCAAAAAAUCAUCCUUACACUAAAUUUAAGCAUAUUUCUAGAAUCCCAAAUCAACCAAAACACCACUCUAAGCUCAAACUUCGAUUUUUUGUAAGAAUAUACCACUUUAACAAAUACACAAAUCACAGAGCAUAUGUUUUUAAAAAAAACAAAGAUUGACAAAACAAAAAAUCAUACCUGGUGUGACAAGAUUCAAGGUCGGGUCAGGUGUGAGAGAGGGAGGUGACUGGUUUGCUAGAUCUGGAGGUUAGGUGUAGUGUGUGUCAUGCCCGUGUAGGAGACUGGGAGAGGAAUAUGGAUGGUUUGUAUAGAUCUGUAGAGUCAGGGACUCAAGAGAAUGGAGAUGAAGAUUUAUUAUUUUUGAUCUGGUUUGUGAGGGUUGAGAGGGGCGGCUGGACGACUGGGAGAGUGAGAGAGUAUGAGAUUGAGAGUUUGAGACUUACGAAAGAUCUGUGAAUUUGAGAUCUGUGAACUGAAUCAGUGAAUUGUGAGUUUGUGAGGGUUGAGAGGGGGCGGCUGGACGUAGAGGAUGGGUGUGUGCUUGCUAGGGUUAAUAAUUUUUGUAUUUAUAGGACCCCUUAACUGAACCGGUUCGGUUCGGUUGGGGUUUGGUCGGUUUCAGGUUUCUUAAACCGAAACCGAACCGAACCGAACUUUUUUGUAAAAAAAAUAAUCGGUUUGAUCGGUUUUUUUUUUCGGUUCGGUUUUUUCGGUUAUUUUUUUCUCGGUUUUCUCGGUUUCUCGGUUUUUUUGCUCACCCCUAAUUGUUUCAUUAUAGGGAAAGAGAAGUGGAGAGGCUCUUUCCUCUCUCUGAAUAAAAAAAGAGAGGAGAAUUUAAGGUCAAUAAGGAGGGAGGCUGGAUCAUGUGUGUGUCUAUACCUUGUUAUGGGCGUUAAAAAAAAUUAAUGGAAAGUGUCCCUACCAUGAGGUGGGGGCAUUUAAGUCUUUGUAUAAAAUUGGAAGGUGAAGUAUCCCUAUUAAUCGCAGUUUUGUUGUCAUUUGCACACUGUUUUUUGCUUCGUCCGCAGCAGCCCCUGGAAUCUGCUAAAUACUAUCCUACAAACAGUUCUUUUUUAAUUAAUUCACUAUUUUACCCAUAACCAGGAGAGUUAGCUUUUCGGUUAUGGGCAGAACUCUUGGUUAGUUGAGUACUCACUGCCUUUCAGUUUUUGUGAAGCGAAUUUCAUGCCAAUUGAAAAUGUUUUUACACGUGUAUUUCCUUUCCUUUUUUGUGUUCGUCACAUUAAUUGAUCCCGCC
Molecule: long non-coding RNA, 2667 nt
Filed under: Populus trichocarpa (black cottonwood)
Lineage: Eukaryota; Viridiplantae; Streptophyta; Magnoliopsida; Malpighiales; Salicaceae
Description: long non-coding RNA (PTRI_LNC002487)
Source: RNAcentral